Molecule: ribosomal RNA, 115 nt
Filed under: uncultured eukaryote
Lineage: Eukaryota
Description: partial small subunit ribosomal RNA
Source: RNAcentral
UGGGUUUCACCAGAAGURGGUAGCCUAACCGCAAGRAGGGCGCUUACCACGGUGGGAUUCAUGACUGGGGUGAAGUCGUAACAAGGUAGCCGUAGGUGAACCUGCAGAAGGAUCA